ACGUAGGUGGCAAGCGUUAUCCGGAUUUACUGGGUGUAAAGGGCGUGUAGGCGGGACUGCAAGUCAGGCGUGAAAACCAGAGGCUCAACCUCUGGCCUGCGUUUGAAACUGUAGUUCUUGAGUGCUGGAGAGGCAAUCGGAAUUCCGUGUGUAGCGGUGAAAUGCGUAGAUAUACGGAGGAACACCAGUGGCGAAGGCGGAUUGCUGGACAGUAACUGACGCUGAGGCGCGAAAGCGUGGGGAGCAAACAG
This 251-nucleotide ribosomal RNA is filed under the name uncultured bacterium. RNAcentral describes it as "partial 16S ribosomal RNA". It matches the Rfam family "Bacterial small subunit ribosomal RNA", at positions 525 to 775 of the family's 1533-position model. The record is from RNAcentral.